This is a non-coding RNA of Nerophis lumbriciformis (worm pipefish), 3081 nucleotides long. The record is from RefSeq and is a predicted model, not a curated record. Lineage: Eukaryota; Metazoa; Chordata; Actinopteri; Syngnathiformes; Syngnathidae.
CCUAACGUUAGCGUAACGUUACUGUAUGGUUCUCGUUUGGUUAUGCAAGAUGAGAACAUUCUAAGAACAUUCUCAGAACAUAUCAAAACCUAUGACACACAAAAUAUUUGCCUGCAAUGGAAACAGCAACCGUUAGGCUUUUCAAAGUGUUUUUUUUCCGCAAAUUUACUUUAUAUACAUUAUGUAGUAACGUUUCCCUAACGUUCCGCGAACGUGUUGUGUUUUUCGAGUAAUCUGACGCGCAUGCGCGUAGAAUCUUCCCUAAGACAAAGAAGGACUACCAAGCUCGACGACGUACGCUCGACAACGCUGCAAAUUCCAGAAUCCCGAUAAAUCAGGCAAUUGCAUUGAUCACAUGUAAGUAGAUAGAAAGAGUGAAAUACGAAGCACGUUUUUUUGUAACAAUUUCUACCCUAUGUAACAGAGUUAAAAUACACCUUUGUUAUUUAUUAUAUUUUGUUUGUGUAUUUUAUCUCCAAAUAGUUAUCUUGUCUGCUCGUCUAUGAGAGGGCGGUUUGAUAUCUUUUUGUCCCUCCUGAGCUCCUGUAGUUCUCCUGGGUUGUGUAGCCCCUCCCUUCUCCCCUCACAGAAAAGUUCCACAUGUUGAAGGUGAGUCUUGCUCGGACGGUCCCACCGACCUUUUCCUUGUUUUUCGGUAGAAAUUAGGUCUUUAAUUAAUGAAUGUGUGUACCAAGAAUGUGAAUAUGUUUACCUGUGUUGUCCUUUAGUUUUAAGUUCAGAUUACAGGUAACAUUACAUCGCUAACAUUGGCGCCAAACGGCCGCUCUUUGUUGUAUGAGACUUGUUCAGUGUGUGCGUGCGUGCGUGUGUGAGACUUGUUAAGUGUGUGCGUGCGUGCGUGUGUGAGACUUGUUCAGUGCGUGCGUGUGUGCCUACAUGUGUCGGUAAUGAGACUUGUUCAGUGCGUGCGUGUGUGUGCCUACAUGUGUAGGUAAUGAGACUUGUUCAGUGUGUGUGUGCGUGCGUGCGUGUUUGUGGGUGCGUACGUAUGUGUGUGUGCUUACGUGCGUAGGUAACAGUGUUAUUCUGUGUGUUUAGGCGUAAGCCAAAGAAAGACGGGAUACCGACAUUGUCUGAUUGUCGCCCGCAGGUUGGAAGAAAAAUAAAUGAAGCUGAGAACAGUGGAAAAGUCUCAUUGUGCCGACCCAGAACAGUUACACUGGUGCCGUGAACCUUCGGAUCUUCAGAUCGGCUUGAUGCUCGUCGCCGCGGAUGCUGCGCUGCUGACCUGAUCUACGGUUGAUGAUUAUUGUGUGGUCGGAUCUCAAAACAGUGUGUUUGGAUGGCUCCUUCGUAUGUGGUCGUUGAGUUCCUUGGUGAACGUUCAGUCGCUGUUGUCCCAACCAUAUGGACAAAAGAUGAUGGAAAGAAUACCUUCUGCUAUUGGCCAAAGCCAAAUCCUACCCACUCCAGAAUCCGGAGAGCUGAGAUUCCUGACAAAGAAGUCUGGGAUAGGCUACCAAUUCGGGUUUUCAGGAAAACAUUGACUGAAGACUUUGACAAGGCCCUUCAAUAUGAAAAACAAGCUGAAAUGUUUUCGAGCCCAGAGGAAGAAGAAAUAUCAACCAAACGGAGCCACAUCACCCCUGAACGUUAUAGAAACGAUGAGGAAGAUGUGUUUGAUGCUGACGACGAAGAGGAAAUUCGGCCAAAAAAGAAGUGCAGAAAAGAGAAAUCACAGAUCCUCAUCCAGGCACCCCCACUGCCAGUGCUCCCACCAUUGAACUUUCCAAUCUCCAGCAAGUACCAGACCACUUCAGCCAGUACCAGCCAAUACUACACCACUCCAAGGCAUCCAGGCCGACCUCACAGCCCAGCGAGAAGCAGCACUUACAGGCUCAGUCCAGACAGGAAUCAUGCAUCUAGCUCAAGCCAGUACCAAACCACUCCAGCCAGUAUGAGUCAGUACCAGACCACUCCCAAGAAGCAGCAGGAAUGCCCUUGAAAGUGAACUUUUCCAGUUAAACAUGAAAGUUCAAAAACUAUUUGAGAACCAGGGAGAAAUUAUGCGCAUGCUGAGAGGGCUGGCAGCACAGUCUGUGGGGCCAGAAGCUGUGGAUGUUCAAGAUCUCAUUGAGAAGCCUUUCGAGACUCUUGAGCAGCUUAAGACCUUCAGUGAACAGCUCGACACUGAUCUUCUGCUCAGAAAGCAGCUGGUGAAAGCUCUUACUGCUCUUGGUGGGCAGAAUUUGGCAGACACAGUGAGGACAAUGCUGAGGAAAAUUGCCACAAACAAAGUCCUGGAGCAGCUUGGUCUCCGUGGAAAGACAGGCAAAGUGGCAUUUGAGGACUUGCCCUUUUACAGAAUAAUAAUAAGGAAUUCUAAAUUGUGCUGGUGAUUCCAGAGGCAUGCAGGGGUGUUCACAAACAGACGACCACAGCUGAAGUAGAUUGUGAGCUUGGAGAGGUCCUGAAACUGGCCACUUUUUGAAAGGGAGGUUCAAAGUUUGAGGAGAAGAGGAGGAAUUAAGAGGAAGCGACGGCGAAGAAGGGCAAAGGGAGGUGUACAAAGGAAAUGGACAGUGAGAUGAGUGACCAGAGGGGGGGGUUACCCACAUAUGCGGUCCUCUCCAAGGUUUCUCAUAGUCAUUCACAUUGACGUCCCACUGGGGUGAGUUUUCCCUUGCCCUUAUGUGGGCUUUGUACCGAGGAUGUCAUUGUGGCUUGUGCAGCCCUUUGAGACACUUGUGAUUUAGGGCUAUAUAAAUAAACAUUGCUUGAUUGAUUGAUUGAAACACUUGCAGGAAGCGACGGCGAAGAAGGGCAAAGGGAGGUGUACAAAGGAAUAGGACAGUGAUAUGAGUGACCAGGAAGCGACGGCGAAGAAGUGCAAAGGGAGGUGUACAAAGGGAAUGGACAGUGAGAUGAGUGACCAGGAAGUGAAGAAGAAGAAAACAGGGAAAGGGAAAAGAACCAAGCAAACGCCAGUGAGACCAGUGAGCAUUGAGCAGGAAGAGAACCAACAAGAAGGGGCAGGAGUACACUGACGCGCACGACCAAGACCACAGCAUUCCAUUUCUAUUGUAUUAUAAUUAUCACUAAUAAAUAAUUAUUGUUGAA